Molecule: ribosomal RNA, 304 nt
Filed under: uncultured bacterium
Lineage: Bacteria
Description: bacterial SSU rRNA
Rfam family: Bacterial small subunit ribosomal RNA
Source: RNAcentral
AACGAACGCUGGCGGCGUGCCUAACACAUGCAAGUCGAGCGAGAAAAGGGGAGCAAUCCCCUGAGUACAGCGGCGCACGGGUGAGUAACACGUAGGUGAUCUCCCUUCGAGCCCGGAAUAACCUACUGAAAGGUGGGCUAAUACCGGAUAUGACCGACGGGAGUUUUCGGCUCCUGCGGUGAAAGAUGGCCUCUACCUGUAAGCUAUCACUCAAGGAUGAGCCUGCGUGCCAUUAGCUAGUUGGUGAGGUAACGCUCACCAAGGCGAUGAUGGCUAGCUGGUCUGAGAGGACGACCAGCCACAC